Molecule: long non-coding RNA, 619 nt
Filed under: Macaca fascicularis (crab-eating macaque)
Lineage: Eukaryota; Metazoa; Chordata; Mammalia; Primates; Cercopithecidae
Description: lncRNA (ENSMFAG00000046810.2)
Source: RNAcentral
CAGAAGCAAGUAUCCAGCAACCUUAACCGAGACCACAUUGGGGAACCUUCUGGCUUACUCACCCCCUGGCCCUACCGCUACCACCAAGAGAAAAAGAAGUGAAGAGAAUGAGCUGGUUCAUCCUCUAGUGCAUUGCAGCGGCGUGGGGGAAACCAGGGAGAUGGGGGGCAAGGCUGUGCAAUGGCUCAGAGAUAGCCCAACAAAUGCUCUGUAAUGAGACUUGGAGUUUCAACCUCACUGUCUGGAGCAGAAGAGAAAUGGGAAAUAUGACAUAUGGAGGUGCCACUGAAACAAAACACCCCAAAAUCUUGAGUCAACACAGUGGGGCUAGCACUCUGGAGUCCCCACUGGAACUGCAGUGGGUUUGUCUGAAUGACAAAUACACUUGUCUGCAGAGUCAUGGGAAGAAUUUAAGCAGGAAAAUGAUGGGGCCUGGACCACUGAUUAGAGAGAUCAUUCAUUCCUUGACCAACAUAAAGGAACUAAGUGGAAGAGACCCGAUUGGAACCCAGGUCAGUCCGAUAACAAAGUCUUCAUUUUAAAACUCCCCUGCCUUCUAAGAGAAGUUUUUUCCUUGGCCAGGGAAAGUGUAUUUCAGUGUGGAAGCUCCCAGUUCGGC